Molecule: ribosomal RNA, 290 nt
Filed under: uncultured bacterium
Lineage: Bacteria
Description: partial 16S ribosomal RNA
Rfam family: Bacterial small subunit ribosomal RNA
Source: RNAcentral
GUGGAUUAGAUACCCUGGUAGUCCACGCCCUAAACGAUGUCGACUGGUUGUUGGGGGUUUGACACUCUCAGUAACGAAGCUAACGCGUGAAGUCGACCGCCUGGGGAGUACGGCCGCAAGGUUAAAACUCAAAGGAAUUGACGGGGACCCGCACAAGCGGUGGAUUAUGUGGAUUAAUUCGAUGCAACGCGAAAAACCUUACCUACCCUUGACAUGUCCUGGAGGCCCCUGAAAGGGGGCUGUGCCCGAAAGGGAACGGGAACACAGGUGCUGCACGGCCGUCGACAACU